CUCCUACGGGAGGCAGCAGCAGGGAAUUUUGCACAAUGGGCGCAAGCCUGAUGCAGCGACGCCGCGUGAGGGAUGAAGGCCUUCGGGUUGUAAACCUCUUUCAGGAGGGACGAAGCGCAAGUGACGGUACCUCCAGAAGAAGCCCCGGCCAACUACGUGCCAGCAGCCGCGGUAAUACGUAGGGGGCGAGCGUUGUCCGGAUUCAUUGGGCGUAAAGAGCUCGUAGGCGGCUCAGUAAGUCGGCCGUGAAAGCCCAGGGCUCAACCCUGGGAGGCCGGUCGAUACUGCUGUGGCUAGGGUCCGGUAGAGGAGAGUGGAAUUCCCGGUGUAGCGGUGAAAUGCGCAGAUAUCGGGAGGAACACCAGUAGCGAAGGCGGCUCUCUGGGCCGGUACCGACGCUGAGGAGCGAAAGCUAGGGGAGCAAACAGGAUUAGAUACCCUGGUAGUCCUAGCCGUAAACGUUGGGCACUAGGUGUGGCGGAUUCAUUGACAUCUGCCGUGCCGGAGCUAACGCAUUAAGUGCCCCGCCUGGGGAGUACGGUCGCAAGGCUAAAACUCAAAGGAAUUGACGG
RNAcentral lists this ribosomal RNA (572 nucleotides) under uncultured bacterium. Its description in RNAcentral is "bacterial SSU rRNA". It matches the Rfam family "Bacterial small subunit ribosomal RNA", at positions 336 to 916 of the family's 1533-position model. The record is from RNAcentral.